CUAGGUCUUUUGGCUGGCAGCCAUUUUGUGCUGGCAGCCUUUGGGGAACCAGUUAGAAGAACACAUUAAAUGUCCUCUCAAUGCUGUUUCUAAGAUCCUGAAGAUUUUUCUCCUCAGCCCCUCUUGCUUAAGAAAAAGCUUCAGAGAGACAUGUCAAAACCCAGAUGCCUUCUCCCUCUCCCACCAUGCCCCCUCAAUUCUCACUGUGUUUGACUGGCUACAGGGCACAGUGCCCUAAGAUCAAACUGCAGUUCAGCCAGAUAGCUGUGUCCUCUGUCACAACCUGGGAACUGUUACACAAUGUGGAUAACAUGCUAGGAUUUUCAAUAAAAGACCAAAUGCCUAACUGUAAUGCAUGCCUUGUGUUGAAUAUAGCAAAAGCAUGCACAAUGUAUUAAAAUGACUGAAGUUGCUUAAUUAUUAAUGUUUUAACCUUGUAAUACAUCAUUGUUGCUUAGUCAAGAAUGUAAAAACCAUUAUUAAA
This is a non-coding RNA of Pelodiscus sinensis (Chinese soft-shelled turtle), 484 nucleotides long. NCBI's taxonomy places the organism in Eukaryota, Metazoa, Chordata, Testudines, Trionychidae. The record is from RefSeq and is a predicted model, not a curated record.